CAGUCGCCACGGGAAUACGCAGGUGGCAAGCGUUGUCCGGAAUUAUUGGGCGUAAAGGGCUCGCAGGCGGUUUCUUAAGUCUGAUGUGAAAGCCCCCGGCUCAACCGGGGAGGGUCAUUGGAAACUGGGAAACUUGAGUGCAGAAGAGGAGAGUGGAAUUCCACGUGUAGCGGUGAAAUGCGUAGAGAUGUGGAGGAACACCAGUGGCGAAGGCGACUCUCUGGUCUGUAACUGACGCUGAGGAGCGAAAGCGUGGGGAGCGAACAGGAUUAGAUACCCCUGUAGUCCCUGUCUCUUAUAC
This 301-nucleotide ribosomal RNA is filed under the name uncultured bacterium. Its description in RNAcentral is "partial 16S ribosomal RNA". It matches the Rfam family "Bacterial small subunit ribosomal RNA", at positions 509 to 807 of the family's 1533-position model. The record is from RNAcentral.